GGGGAGGGAGGGGAUGCAGAGAGGAGGACGCGCUCUAUCCAGGGUACACGUGUCUGCUGCGUGAUGCCCGCCUGGCUCUGCAGGCUGGCACCCGCACGGGGGUACCGAAACACCGUGGCUAAUGCCAACACACACGCACAGCUACCGCUACACACCGACACAUCUACACUGCUGAUGGUUGACCAUCGCGGGGGGCCUCGAGGGGUCCCCAGGGACUGGGCUGGGGGACAUGAAGCAUCCCUGCAAAGGGCCCAGGGACACACCUCUCCCUGCGCUGCAGUGCCGAUCCCCACGGCUGAGCCAGGGCCACCAGCAGCUCCAGCAGCAGGGCCAGGCACCUACUCCGAGGCACCCCCAGGGGAUGCCAGGACAAGGGAGGGGGAUGUCCUUCCCUUGGCUACGGCUCAGUCCAGCCUGACAGCAAGGGGCAGGCACGGGGUAGCCUGUGACUGGGGGAACCGGCAGCCCCAAAACAGGGAGGCAGAGCCUCAAGCAGCGGGUGCUCUGCUGCUGCCAGCACCCCACUGGCAGGGAAGGAUCAGAGGGGCCACAAAUCCAGAGUCCCUGGGGAGUGGGGGUCAUGGGGGACUGCAGGGGCUGCUUCAAGCAGCGGUUGCUGCCGAGCCCAGUACAGCUCUUGCAGACGCUGCCAGCCCAGGCCAUGACCACAUCCCCAGGGAUGUGUGGGGUCCCCACCCAGCACAGCUGUACCAGAGCGCAGCCCCUGCCCCCCCAAGCAGAGCCUGCGGCAGCUGCCGAGCCAGCAUUGCAGCCACGUGCUCCUGGCAGUGGGAGGAGGCGGCUGUCGCAGGAAGGAGCCAUUAGGAAAAGCAAAGAAAAUCCCAGCUGGAGGAGCCGCUGCAGCAGCAUCUUCCCUGCCAGCGCGUCCCUGCUCUUGGCAAAGCCGGCAGCGGAGCCCAGUGUGGUGCUGUGUGGAGGAGCCCUGUGCCAGAGCAUCACCCACACCCCACACGCCCACCAGCACUGGCUGCAGCUGCUCUUGGAGCAGUUUGGGUGGUUGUUUAAGAUAGAUUUGCCACAGCUGUCCUUCGCUGCCAGCCCUGCCUUUCCAUGCUGCUCCCUGCCAUCCCGGCAGCAGCACACGCCACGGCCGGGCACAGUGACACCCAGCUCCACUGGCCAAGGUCAGCCAGCCCUCAGCAGGUCCUGCACAGGCACAGGCCCCAAGGUUAAAAUGAGGGCUGGCUACUUAGUGAAGGGCUGGUCCCCAUACAAUGUUGGGGUGACUCCGGACAGGGGCUCCCUCCGUGGCACAGCUUUCCCUGCACAACUGCCUGGCGAGAGAAACAACCCAGCCUCCGCGCCCACGUGCUUACCACGUGUGUGCAACUCCGCUCUUCCCAAAGCCAGUGGCGGGGAACACGCGCCACGGGGAAGGAGACGCUGCUGUGGGACACUGAACCCCCGAGCCAGGCACCCCUCACUAAACAGGGAGUUGGGAAGGGACAGUCUGGCAUGGCUCGGCAUCCCUCCCCAAGGGCUGCGAAGAGGAAGAGGAGAAAAUUGAAGCCAUGCGUUCAAUGCAGUCAAAAACCAAACGGAAUCAGCCAUUCUCCGAGGGAUGGGGAAGGUGGGGUGGGCACCGAGAGCUGGGGUGGCAUGGAUGCUCCUGCUUCCUGGAGAGUGGGAGGGCACGCGGCGCUGGCACAGAUGGGAGCGGCCGGGAGCAGCCAUGGCUGUCAGUGCCGGGGCCAUGGGGGAAAGCAGCCGGGUGUGACAAUGAAAACCCGAUGAGAUGCAUUUCACGG
Molecule: long non-coding RNA, 1769 nt
Organism: Taeniopygia guttata (zebra finch)
Lineage: Eukaryota; Metazoa; Chordata; Aves; Passeriformes; Estrildidae
Source: Ensembl